This 567-nucleotide long non-coding RNA is filed under the name Elaeis guineensis (African oil palm). RNAcentral describes it as "long non-coding RNA (EGUI_LNC016707)". The record is from RNAcentral. Lineage: Eukaryota; Viridiplantae; Streptophyta; Magnoliopsida; Arecales; Arecaceae.
UGGCAAUCGAUCCAUCCCUCCUUGUGAGCUCGAUGAUAAAUGUUUCUGUUGAAGACCACAUGGCUGUCAUAGUACUCUUGCGAUGCCUUGAAGGCUCCAACUGCUUGAGCCUUCUCCUCGGCAAAGGCAGAUGAUGCCUUGUACUCCUCCACAGCAUAGCGCUUGGCCUCCUGAACAUACUCUUCAACCCUCUUUUCAGUCUCUUUCUCCCUCUUUUGCACAAGAGUGAGAUUGGCUUCCACCUUCUUGAGAGUCUCCUGGAGGUGCUUGAUGUCAGUUUCGAGUUUUUCCACCUUCGCCCAGGCGGCCAGAGCAUCCUCUUCGGCCGUUGUUUCUACUUCUCGCACCUUCCUUUCAACCCCCUGUGCCUCUACUUCCCUGGCUGAACGAUCUGCUAAGUUAACAAGGACAUGAAGCAGCUACAUGCAAACAAGUUAAGUAAAGAACAUGAAGCGAAGAAAGAGAAGUGAAUAGUUAAAGUAAUACCUGAUGUCCAAUUGUCAAAGACAGCCUCUUGAGGCUAGAGGCACUCAUCUUUCCAAUUUGUUCCAAUUCCAUCGAGAUUAU